This 2709-nucleotide unclassified non-coding RNA is filed under the name Orussus abietinus. Its description in RNAcentral is "uncharacterized LOC105695088, transcript variant X2". Lineage: Eukaryota; Metazoa; Arthropoda; Insecta; Hymenoptera; Orussidae. The record is from RNAcentral.
CCGCCUCACUAGGGUGCGGAUCAGGAGAGAGAGCCAGCGUGUUUUCGCCGUUGUUUUUUUUUCAUCUGGUCGCGCGUAUCGAGUGCGCCUUCGGUUAGAGGACGGACCGAGGAGGGGCGGAACGGACGACCGCGGACGGAGGAAGAGAUCGACGGGGAUCGAGGGGAUAUCCAGGAAACAAAGAGAGGAUACCGUCGAGACCUUGGAGCCGGGUCGUCGAUGCGCAGGAGCGAUGCGCAAACGGUGACGCGCGGAGGCGCCGCGAGUCGCGCGCACGUCCUCCGAGAGUCGUUCCACCGGGUCGACAGGCUCGCGACGAGUCGGGAUCGACGCGAGCCUUCGCCGCGAGCCCGGGGACCCGUCAGGGCCGGCGUCCCCCGUCUACCUAUCUCGCUUACCCCGGGCCAAAGUAGGGGAAGCGCGCGCGUCACGCAGCGGAUAAUUGCGCGCCCGUCUCCGUCCUUUCCCUGCCCCACGGUGGAAGGUGGAGGGGGAAGGAGCGACCGAGAGAGCCAGCAAGAGAGACGGCGAUACUCGGCGGAAAUAACUCCCUAACGAGGGGGAGAGAGACGGAGGCGCGUCCGCCGGCCGGCUGCGGGAGAGAGACGCGACGAGCGCGUCGGACGCUGCCGCCACCUGGCGGCGCGGGGCUCUACCCCCACCCGGCCGCCUCGCGACCAACGAGGGCCGGCGAAGCCGCCCGAGUCGGGCCGAUCUCGGACGGGCGCAUGACAUUUCGCGAGCGUCUACGUGCGGGUACUCCACGUUGCCUUCUGCGGAGCUACAUCAGUAGUGGUCGUCCUUUCAAGUCGUCGACUUUACUCCUGAUCUCCCCUAUACAACCUCCGAAUCGCCGGAUUCGACUACGAGGGAAGCCGUGACGAAAACCACCGAGGGACGAGAGUGCCGCGUCGCGUCGCCUCGUCGGCAAGGCAGAGAGCCCCGCUACCUCCGGGAGUGAAAUUAGGAGAGAAGCGGAUCGAUCGAUCGAAAGCUCUCUGAUCUAUCGGUCGAUAUCGUUUAGUCGGGUCCCUAGACCGAAGGGCCUCGUUUUUCUGGAGCGACCGGAGGUUGCGCGCCGUCCGAGAGGGGACCAGCGGCUGCGCGGCCCUGCUUGCGCGCCGACCGCCGCGCACCCUCGCGGCCAUUUUGCGAAGCCUCAGUGAUCGCAAUGGCGUCCAUUAAAGACACUGCGACUUUCUUCGCGGAGGGGACCGCUGGCCAAUUCGAGCACGUACUCAAGCUCUAUCCGCAGGCCCUGCGACUCAAGGCCGACCGGAAGACCAAAAAACCCGAGGAGCUGAUCAAGCUUGACAACUGGUAUCAGAACGAGCUACCGAAGAAAAUCAAAGCUCGGGGAAAGGAUGCUCAUCUCAACCACGAAGAACUGGUGCAAACGAUGAAAUGGAAACAGAUACGUGGCAAGUUCUACCCUCAGGUGUCGUACCUAAUAAAGGUUAACACACCCCGGGCCGUGAUGGCCGAGACCAAGAAAGCCUUCAAGAAGCUGCCAAACCUGGAGCAGGCGAUCACCGCCCUCUCGAACCUGAAGGGUGUGGGCACCACAAUGGCCUCGGCCCUCCUGGCAGCUGCCUCUCCGGAGAACGCUCCCUUCAUGGCAGACGAGUGCCUCAUGGCCAUCCCAGAGAUCGAGGGGAUCGACUACACCACCAAGGAGUACCUCAAUUUCGUUCAGCACAUUCAAAACACCGUCGAGAGGCUCAACAAGCAAACGUCCAACGGAAAGAUCUGGAGCCCACACAGGGUGGAAUUGGCCCUGUGGACGCACUACGUGGCCUCGGAGCUGAAGCCGGAGCUGCUGGACGGUAUCCCAGGGACCACGGAGAACGGGAACUCGCACCCGACGAACGGCGAGACGACGGAGCCCUCGGACGACAGUAACCAGGAGGCCUCGUCCGAGGAGGUUACGCCUCCGGGGGCGACGGAGGCCGAAGUGGUGGUGGUGGCGAACGGUAAGGAAGCGGCGAUCGACCCGGCGGCCCUCGACGACAACAGCACGGCCUCCUUCACGGAGGACUCCCUGGACAAGCCGGCGACCCCGAUAACCGGGGCGGCACCCAGCGAGGACACGAACGACUCCCUCGCGACGAACGAGAGUACCAACACCAGGCCAACCGACAGCGAGGACACCGAGGACUCGCAGGACACCACCCGGGAGGCCCGGGACGCUCGGGAGCCGCCCGCCAAGAAGAGCAAGAAGUGACCCCGCGGCCGCACCUCCCCGCCAACCCUCGCCGAUGACAACCCCCCCCUCGCCCUGGGCCCGGUCGGGGGCCUCGCCUUAAUGGCGACGAGGCGCUUCUAGCCCUCGGCGAGGCGACCCCCGAGGGCUCGAGCCUGAGACACGUGCCCGCCCUGCUGCGCCCUGCGCCCCGAUGCGUCCUCUUCGGACGAUCCUCGUCGGCCCUCGAACGAUGAGCUCCGCCGGGCCCCGGGGACCUCGUCGGGGGUGCGCGUCCAGGAGCGUCGGGACGGCGCCCUGCCCGGCGCAUGAGUGCCUGGCCGAAGAUUCGAUGCACCGCUCGGACUGGGGACUCCACGUGUUUAGUAUAUGGGCUGCAUGGUCGCUGACGACAAACCUUACCUACGAAAGCAGGAAAUAAAUCCCAGACGAUGCGACAAUAUUCCAUAGACGAUUCUACGCUGGUGGUCCAUAGUGACUUGCAAAUCGGAGCUAGUGGAAUGAGA